Lepisosteus oculatus (spotted gar) is the source of this 120-nucleotide ribosomal RNA. Lineage: Eukaryota; Metazoa; Chordata; Actinopteri; Semionotiformes; Lepisosteidae. The record is from Ensembl.
GCUUACGGCCACACCACAUUGAGCAGUGCCCGAUCUCUUCUGAUCUCGGCAGCUAAGCAGGGUCGGGCCUGGUUAAUACUUGGAUGGGAGACCUACUGGGAAUACCAGGUGCUGUAAACU